CCUACGGGUGGCAGCAGUGAGGAAUAUUGGUCAAUGGACGAGAGUCUGAACCAGCCAAGUAGCGUGAAGGAUGACUGCCCUAUGGGUUGUAAACUUCUUUUAUAAAGGAAUAAAACGAGGCACGUGUGCCUUUUUGCAUGUACUUUAUGAAUAAGGAUCGGCUAACUCCGUGCCAGCAGCCGCGGUAAUACGGAGGAUCCGAGCGUUAUCCGGAUUUAUUGGGUUUAAAGGGAGCGUAGAUGGGUUGUUAAGUCAGCGGUAAAAAUUCGGGGCUCAACCCCGUCCGGCCGUUGAAACUGGGGGCCUUGAGUGGGCGAGAAGAAGGCGGAAUGCGUGGUGUAGCGGUGAAAUGCAUAGAUAUCACGAAGAACCCCGAUUGCGAAGGCAGCUUACUAAACUGUGACUGACAUUGAUGCUCGAAAGUGUGGGUAUCAAACAGGAUUAGAUACCCUAGUAGUC
Molecule: ribosomal RNA, 459 nt
Filed under: uncultured bacterium
Lineage: Bacteria
Description: partial 16S ribosomal RNA
Rfam family: Bacterial small subunit ribosomal RNA
Source: RNAcentral